Phascolarctos cinereus (koala) is the source of this 802-nucleotide non-coding RNA. The record is from RefSeq and is a predicted model, not a curated record. Lineage: Eukaryota; Metazoa; Chordata; Mammalia; Diprotodontia; Phascolarctidae.
CAGCAAGUAACACCCAAACUCAAAAGUCUACUUCCUCCAUGGAGCCUUCCCUGCUUCUCACAGAUGGAUAUGAACUCUCUGAGGGCAGAGACCACCCUGGUUUUGUCAUCGUUUGCUCAGUGCCUCGAAAGAUGCCUGUCACAUAAUAAGGAAAAUGAAGUUGAAAGAGGUGAAGAGGCCCAGAGUUACACUCUAUGAAGCAUCUGAGCCUGUAUCUGAACUCCCGCCUGCUUGGCUCCAACAGCACUCAAACCAGCAUACUACCUAGCAGUCCUCACAGGAACCCAGGUCACUGCGAUGUGGUCUUUGUUCUAGCCCUGCUCUGCCUGCUGCCCAGCCCCUAAGUUGUCUAUUCCUUCCUCAUCUUGCUUCAUAUACUUCCUGUCCCUGAAUGAAGCUCAUGCCCAAAAGUGUGCAUAGUAUCUACAUUGGUACAGGUGGAGUUAAUUCCUUAUGCAGUAUUCCAGCUUCCUUCUGCUCCUCUACUUUCACUUGGAGUGAUCCUAUUGGCUCUUCUCCCACUGGAAAAUUUCUCCUCUUGUGGGUCUUCUCAGUAUGUCAGAGGCUAGAACUUCAGAGUUUCCCUAUCAUGGUGCCAUUACAGCUUGAAAGAUGUAUCUCACUAGCAUGUUUUCACUUUGAAACCUCUCCCACCCAUCUUAGGUUUUGCACAAAAGAAUUGCUCAGGAAUCAGGAACAGAAAUAUCCUGAUCUCAUUUUUGUGAAUGAGUCUCUGUCAUAGACAAGGGUGAAAUCGAAGUUUGAUGUCCCCUUCCUCCCACCACCCAGGUGGCAUGUUUCC